Molecule: long non-coding RNA, 199 nt
Filed under: Musa acuminata (dwarf banana)
Lineage: Eukaryota; Viridiplantae; Streptophyta; Magnoliopsida; Zingiberales; Musaceae
Description: long non-coding RNA (MACU_LNC007940)
Source: RNAcentral
UCCCCUCGGCUUUGCUAGAAUUUAUAAUAAAUUGUAGAUGUGAUAAGCAAUACUGGUAUCCAAUACCAAUGCACUAUCACAAAAAUCUAACAAUUGGAGAUUGAUCAUGAAUGUACCUAAAGCUUCUCCAAUCUUCUAUUUCGCCCUUUCUGCAAGGUACUCUUUGUAGUUCCUCUUCCAGUGCCCAUCUUUACCAUAG